CUCUUCGGGGAUGAUUAAACCGGCGCACGGGUGAGUAACACGUGAGUGACCUGCCUUUUAGACUGGAACAACUUACCGAAAGGUGAGCUAAUGCCGGAUGAGUUAUAUAAGUGCAUGUUUAUAUAGGAAAAGUUGGGGAGACCUGACGCUGAAAGAUGGACUCGCGUCCCAUUAGCUAGUUGGUAGGGUAAUGGCCUACCAAGGCGACGAUGGGUAGCCGGCCUGAGAGGGUGGCCGGCCACACUGGGACUGAGACACGGCCCAGACUCCUACGGGAGGCAGCAGUGGGGAAUUUUGCGCAAUGCUCGUAAGAGUGACGCAGCGACGCCGCGUGAAUGACGAAGGCCUUCGGGUCGUAAAGUUCUUUCGACAGGGAAGAAAAUGCCUAUAAGUAACUGUGUAUGUAUUGACGGUACCUGUAUAAGCAGCCCCGGCUAACUCCGUGCCAGCAGCCGCGGUAAUACGGAGGGGGCGAGCGUUGUUCGGAGUGACUGGGCGUAAAGAGCACGUAGGCGGUGUUGUAAGUCAUUAGUCAAAGACUAGAGCUCAACUUUAGUAAGGCUAGUGAUACUAUAAUACUAGAGUAUCAGAGAGGAUUGCAGAAUUCCUGGUGUAGCGGUGAAAUGCGUAGAUAUCAGGAGGAAUACCGUUAGCGAAGGCGGCAAUCUGGCUGGAAACUGACGCUGAGGUGCGAAAGCGUGGGUAGCAAACAGGAUUAGAUACCCUGGUAGUCCACGCUGUAAACGAUGGAUGCUAGGUGUUGGGCUUUUAAGUUCAGUGCCGCAGCAAACGCGAUAAGCAUCCCGCCUGGGGAGUACGUUUGCAAGAA
RNAcentral lists this ribosomal RNA (829 nucleotides) under uncultured bacterium. RNAcentral's name for it is "bacterial SSU rRNA". It matches the Rfam family "Bacterial small subunit ribosomal RNA", at positions 76 to 894 of the family's 1533-position model. The record is from RNAcentral.